UACGGAGGGUGCAAGCGUUAUCCGGAUUCACUGGGUUUAAAGGGUGCGUAGGAGGGCAGGUAAGUCAGUGGUGAAAUCUUCGAGCUUAACUCGGAAACUGCCGUUGAUACUAUCUGUCUUGAAUACCGUGGAGAUGAGCGGAAUAUGUCAUGUAGCGGUGAAAUGCUUAGAUAUAACAUAGAACACCAAUUGCGAAGGCAGCUCGUUACACGAAUAUUGACUCUGAGGCUCGAAAGCGUGGGGAUCAAACAGG
This 253-nucleotide ribosomal RNA is filed under the name uncultured bacterium. RNAcentral's name for it is "partial 16S ribosomal RNA". It matches the Rfam family "Bacterial small subunit ribosomal RNA", at positions 524 to 776 of the family's 1533-position model. The record is from RNAcentral.